AUCUUCAGGGCGGGGCGCGAUUCCCCACCGGCGGUACAGCCCGCGAGCCGUAAGGCAUGAUCCGGUGAGAUUCCGGAGCCGACCGUAUAGUCGGGAUGGAAGAAGAU
Molecule: non-coding RNA, 107 nt
Filed under: uncultured Eubacterium sp.
Lineage: Bacteria; Bacillati; Bacillota; Clostridia; Eubacteriales; Eubacteriaceae
Description: FMN riboswitch (RFN element)
Rfam family: FMN riboswitch aptamer (RFN element)
About the family: The RFN element is a highly conserved domain that is found frequently in the 5'-untranslated regions of prokaryotic mRNAs that encode for flavin mononucleotide (FMN) biosynthesis and transport proteins. This element is a metabolite-dependent riboswitch that directly binds FMN in the absence of proteins. In Bacillus subtilis, the riboswitch most likely controls gene expression by causing premature transcription termination within the 5' untranslated region of the ribDEAHT operon and precluding access to the ribosome-binding site of ypaA mRNA.
Source: RNAcentral